Molecule: long non-coding RNA, 785 nt
Organism: Canis lupus familiaris (dog)
Lineage: Eukaryota; Metazoa; Chordata; Mammalia; Carnivora; Canidae
Exons: 4
Source: RefSeq, a predicted model, not a curated record
ACUGACAUGGCUGCUCAGAUUCCAGGCUCGUGAUAGUCCCCAAAUAUCUCAUUCCUUUAUUUGGACAGGCUUCCCAUUUUAUCCUGGGCUCUACCUUUAUUUUAUUUCCCAAACUGGUAAGGAACAGAAUGAAAACUAUGGAAGUAUAGUGAUUGAAAUUACCAGAAGAAUUUGGAGUUUACAGAUGAGGCUCCUUUGAUUCCAGAGGGAAAUAAGCCAUUUGCCCAACCCAAACGUGAGCAAGCAUUGGGACCAGCAUAUUACCGAGGUGGAUGUGCUUGUGGAAGCAGAGAAAGAGUCUGAACAAGGUGGAUGGAGGGCAGUUGCCCCCUCAAACCUCAAUAGAAAGUCGUGGAAAUGAUAAAGCUGCUUCAGCCUGGCCUCCAGAUCAGGACUACAUGUCUUCUGUUGCAUAGAAAACUAUGAUUAUUAAUCAUUCCAGCCACAUAUCUGCCUCAGUCAGAGUUUAUGUGCAUGGAACUAGACAAGACUGAAGGGGAUCUGAAUCUCACAAAGUCCAAGGUAGACUUUACAAGACAGGAAGAUGCCAGUUUAUUUAUUUGCAAUGGGAAGUAAGCUGUCUCCUGGAUUGCAAAUUCUCAAAACAGCAUUUUGAUACAAGAAAGCCAUAGAAAUCACAAAAACUUGAGAUUAUCCUCUGAGAAGUUGAAGUACUGGCUCAUGAGAUAUCUCCUUAUUCUUGGCAGGAUAAGAUGCAAAUGCAAGAAGCUAUUUCUGUUUCUUGUAAUUAUUUUAAUGACUCCUUGGAGGCAAAAACUAUUUAA